CCUACGGGUGGCAGCAGUGGGGAAUAUUGCGCAAUGGGCGAAAGCCUGACGCAGCGACGCCGCGUGAGGGAUGAAGGUCUUCGGAUCGUAAACCUCUGUCAGCAGGGAAGAACGGUCACUGUGCUAAUCAGCAGUGAAUUGACGGUACCUGCAAAGGAAGCACCGGCUAACUCCGUGCCAGCAGCCGCGGUAAUACGGAGGGUGCGAGCGUUAAUCGGAAUUACUGGGCGUAAAGCGCUCGUAGGCGGUAUGUCAAGUCAAGGGUGAAAUCCCCGCGCUCAACGUGGGAACUGCCUUUGAAACUGGCAAACUGGAGUGUGUGAGAGGAUAGUGGAAUUCCAGGUGGAGGAGUGAAAUGCGUAGAUAUCUGGAGGAACAUCAGUGGCGAAGGCGACUAUCUGGCACAUAACUGACGCUGAGGAGCGAAAGCGUGGGUAGCAAACAGGAUUAGAUACCCUGGUAGUC
This 465-nucleotide ribosomal RNA is filed under the name uncultured bacterium. RNAcentral describes it as "partial 16S ribosomal RNA". It matches the Rfam family "Bacterial small subunit ribosomal RNA", at positions 338 to 795 of the family's 1533-position model. The record is from RNAcentral.